GGCCUUGUAUUCAUUUUGUGAUUAUAGAAUGCAAUUCUGUAGGGGUGAGAAGUACUUACCAAGGCCU
This 67-nucleotide transfer RNA is filed under the name Mimeutermes sorex. Its description in RNAcentral is "tRNA-Cys". The record is from RNAcentral. Lineage: Eukaryota; Metazoa; Arthropoda; Insecta; Blattodea; Termitidae.